This 427-nucleotide ribosomal RNA is filed under the name uncultured bacterium. RNAcentral describes it as "partial 16S ribosomal RNA". It matches the Rfam family "Bacterial small subunit ribosomal RNA", at positions 354 to 796 of the family's 1533-position model. The record is from RNAcentral.
GUGGGGAAUAUUGCACAAUGGGCGAAAGCCUGAUGCAGCAACGCCGCGUGAAGGAUGAAGGCCUUUGGGUCGUAAACUUCUGUCCUUGGGGAAGAAAAAAAUGACGGUACCCCUGGAGGAAGUCCCGGCUAACUACGUGCCAGCAGCCGCGGUAAUACGUAGGGGGCGAGCGUUAUCCGGAAUUAUUGGGCGUAAAGAGUACGUAGGUGGUUUUUUAAGCGCAGGGUUUAAGGCGAUGGCUCAACUGUCGUUCGCCCUGUGAACUGGAAGACUUGAGUACAGGAGAGGAAAGCGGAAUUCCUAGUGUAGCGGUGAAAUGCAUAGAUAUUAGGAGAAACACCAGUGGCGAAGGCGGCUUUCUGGACUGUAACUGACACUGAGGUACGAAAGCGUGGGGAGCAAACAGGAUUAGAAACCCUGGUAGUCC